Molecule: ribosomal RNA, 216 nt
Filed under: Fragilariopsis kerguelensis
Lineage: Eukaryota; Bacillariophyta; Bacillariophyceae; Bacillariales; Bacillariaceae
Description: partial Bacterial small subunit ribosomal RNA
Rfam family: Bacterial small subunit ribosomal RNA
Source: RNAcentral
GCUCGUGUCGUGAGAUGUUGGGUUAAGUCCCGCAACGAGCGCAACCCCUAUCUUUAGUUGCUACCAUUUAGUUGGGCACUCUAAAGAGACCGCCGGUGAUAAGCCGGAGGAAGGUGGGGAUGACGUCAAGUCCUCAUGGCCCUUACGGGUAGGGCUACACACGUGCUACAAUGGCAGUGACAAUGGGUUAAUCCCAAAAAAACUGUCUCAGUUCGG